CUACGUUGCCCAGGCUGGUAGCUCCUGGGUUCAAGCAAUCCUCUUGCCUUGGCCUCCCAAAGUGCUGGGAUUACAGGUGUGAGCCACCGGCCCAUUACUUUUUAUGGUGCUCCCACACUUACCCAAAACUUUAGCACAUCUGUCCCUGGUCUCAUGGAGUCUGCCAUCAUUGCCCACCAGUGACUUGCUGCAUUGCACUGCUGGUCCCUGAUCUGGAAUGAUCGCCCAAGGCCUCUGACUCACAUUCUCACUGGGGCAGAUGGAUUGUGGGGUAUCAAGGUAGGAGAAAGACAAAGCAGCAGAGAAGCAGGUAAUGGGAAUGGAAGCUGUGUGAGUGCCAAGUUGCGUAACUGGAUGUUGGGAGUUAUCUAUUGCAUUUCUGUCUUUCUUAAACUGCAGUUAUUUUUGAAUUAUAAUUUGGCUAUAAAAAUCAUGGAUGGGCUAGGCGCUCACGCCUGUAAUCCCAGCACUUUGGGAGGCCGAGGCGGGCGGAUCACCUUAGGUCAGGAGUUUAAGACCAGCCUGGCCAACAUGGUAAAACCCUGUCUGUACUAAAAAGGCAAAAAUUCGUUGGGCGUGGUGAUGCAUACCUGUAAUCCCAGCUGCUUGGGAGUCUGAGGCAUGAGAAUCCCUUGCCCGUGGAAAGCGGAGGUUGCAGUGAGAUCAUGACACUGCACUCUAGCCUGGGCAGUAGAGUGGGACUCUGUCUCAAAAAAAAAAAAAAAAGGAUGGAUGAAUGUUUUAAACGAGAUGUUCCUGAUUUUCUGUUUUCUGUACUUGAAUUUCAAGUGGUGAUUUCUGAACUUGCACAGUUUCAACCGGGCACUCAAUCACAGGCGUAUUGCAAGGGAGGGGUUUAUAGGUCUGUGCUGGGACUUGUUCUGCACUUCUCCACCCUUUCCAGGAAUGGAAAGUCAAGUAUAUGUCAUAACUUAUCCCUCAGGAACCCGGGAGCCUUACUUCUGACUCUUCUGGGGCCCAUUACAGGAAAGCCUGACUAAUUAGGAACUGGAUUGAGUAUGGGGUGGGGUGGGGUUCAGUGCUUAGUUAUCUGUUCACAGAAGUGGGAAGGAGAAAUCUGUCUACAUUGUUUUCUUUGCUGGAACAACCAUCCAAGGGAAAUCUUUUAAAAUCUUUCCCAGAAAAAGAUUCUAUGUAUGAUGGAGAAUACUGGUAUUUGUCAGCAAUUUAUGUUUACAUAAAUAUAAAUUCAAUGAUUAAAAUGAUUGUCUUCUCCUAAUCCAGUCAUUCCCAAUCUUUCUGAAGUUUCAGUACCUUGGCCACAGAUUGACCAACGUUUGUAUCUUUGUUCUUAAUGUUUCCUAACAGCAUAUUUUAAACUAAACUGAUGUAAAGCUAUCUUUUCCUUGAAUUUCUGAGAAUUCUUUGACUUCUGAGGUAGUUGGUAUAAUACUUGGGCUCUGACAAAACCAGGAUUGGGAAUCCCUGCUGUGGAUCUGUCAUCUUUGCCGUUUCUUCUCCAAUAUUCUUGUCCCUCACAGAUGACCUUUCACCCCUCCUUGAGGUUUUCUGGUUUCUAUUCUUUCUCACUCUCUGCUUUUUCAUUUCUAGUACUUCAUAUCCAAUAAGCUCAGUGCUUGUAGUGGAUCAUUCCCUUGAGGUGACACAAAACCUGUUUAUUAUCAACAUGUAGUGAAUUUUUUUUCCCAUUAGAUUGGCUACGAAAUAAAGUGUGAAAUAUGCCAGACAUCCUGACAGUAAAGGUUAGCUCAGUUGCUAGUCAUUGUCUGUUGCAUGUCUGACUGGAAAAUUGGAACAUCAGCACUUACUGCUUGGUAUGAGUCCAGUUUAAAAACCGAUGAUGACUUAGGCAAUGGCAGGGUUCCUUAGCAGUUGCUUGGAUCACAAGCUUAGACCUGAAGGUACCCUCUAAACUUUCUCCACUCUCAUUCCUGUAGCAGCUACUGCAGCCAACCAAAUCCGCGUCCCACCCCUGACUUCCCACGUGGAGCCGGGUGUGCCGGGUAUACGUCACAAGGCCAUGCCCGGGGUCGGGCGGCAUCAUGUGGCCUUCCCCGACCCACCCUUUGGCUGUCUGUCCCAGCCCUUCUCUAGAAAGUAGUGUCCCACUUCAGGUCACCAGCUGCUCUAGGGGCAGAGGCUACGCCCUUUCAUGGACGCUAAUAACAAAUAACGUAUCUCAGAAGGGAACAUAGGAACUGCAUUAUUUGGCUUUUCUGAUGUUGGGCAGAUCAGUGAAGGAUGCUGUUGUGCUCCAGUCACUGACAUUUUUCAUAGAACAUUACCCCAGAGUACACAGAAAUGAUUCCAAAAAAUAUAGAAGUCUUUGCCUAGUAAGUCACUGCAGAAGUGCUGAAAUCUGAAGAAAGGAAGAGCAGUUCAUGAAUGCCCAUCUCCACGUUGUUCACUGGGCUGUCCUAACCUCCCCUGCUCCCAGAGAAUACCAGAUGGCUUUACAAUUGAGGUGGUUCAAACGCAGAAGGCCCUUUUUCCUUUUAUUAAUUGCUCAGUUAUCUGAACAUGGGCCCCCACCCCUGCCACCUGGCCAGCGUGGCUUCUGCCUCCCUCGGCACUGCCAGGCGGGUGUUUUCUUAGACUCAUCCUCUGGGCCACCUUCAACUCCUCUCCCUCCCUCUGCAUUAACAUCCAGGCCACCCUCAUUAGUCCUUGGCAACCUAGCUUGGGUUGGCCUCCCCAGCCAGCCUUCCAGGCUGUUCUUUCUCUCCCUUGCAGCCUGUCUUGCACACCACUGUGACCAGGUCCAUCUUUCUGAGAAUACCAUUUCCUCACAUCAUGGCCCUGUUUACAAAGCUGUUUCCCAUUUGCCUAUCACAUCAGAUCAAAUCGGAACUCUUCGGCUCUGGAUUGAAGCCGACGCCACUGUUCCUGGCAAGCCUCGUUGCCCUUCGAUCCCGGCGUUGGCCUCCGUCCCUGCCAGGCCUCGUACGAUGCUGCUCUCUGGCGUCCUGCCAUCUCCAGCUCUGCCUGCACGUUGCUCCUGCAUUUCUCUCCACCUCAUAAGACUCUUAUUCCACAGCGCUGGCCAGGCCAAAGCAUACAUGGCCCAGUUAGCUCCCUUUUACUUGAAAUAUUCUCUGAGGAGCCCCUAGGUAUUUUUCUUUACUCACCAGAGACUUGUAGUCAGGGCCACACUGAUAUCAUUUGGGAAUUAUUUGCAAAGUCACAGCUCUGGACUUCUCUCUCCAGCUACAUCAUGAGUUUCUCAGCUAAAUCACAGGCCCACAGUUCCUGCUGCAGCUGGUAAACACUUUCAGUCACGGAAGGAAGCCUUUUUCGGUUCUCAGCUCUGCCAAGGAACUUAUUUCAUGUACACAAAACCACAAACUGUGAGAGGAUUGCUGCCUGUAUCCUGUUCCCCCUCAUCUUUUUUUUCUUUAAAAAGAUGGUAAAGCUGAUUAUAAGAAUUUAAGUAACAUGGCCCUAGAACUAUACUCUGACUCUGAGCCCUGUGUCCUGCCCACAGCACCAGGCCACGAAGACGUACCACGUCGCUACCCUCACAUUUGCUUGUAACUUAGGAGGCUUGCUAAUAAAAUCGAUGGUAACAGUGGAUAUACUUCUCUUUUAAUACAUUUAUUCUAUUUCCUUCUCCCAUUUUCUUUAUUUGUUGAAAAGAAUGUGCUGAUUGAGAAGCCAAGUAUUAUUAACCAUUUUCCCCAUCUGUCAUGGUUCUUUUGCAUAGCACUGGAUUAGGCCGGGGGACUGGCCUAACCCUGCAAAUAUCAGGAAAAAGAUUCUUCUAGGGGAAGUCUUACUAAUCUGAAUUGAUCACUAGAAAUACAUAGUCUCUACCUAAAGGACGCUUUGUCACUUAAAAUGCCAAGUAGUUGUCAUAAUGUAAAGAAACCUCCAUUGCCAGGCAACCAUUUGCACCCGGACAUUGUGCCUGGUUGCACUUAACAUUUUAUCAUUUGAUUCUUACACCAGCCCUCCAAUGUGAUGAAACCAAGGCUCCUAGGUGCUAAGUGACAUUCCCCUAGUCAUGCAGCCUAGUGGUAAAGCGGAGAUUCAAGUCUAGUUUUUGUUUUCCUUUGAGCUGGAGCUGCAA
This is a non-coding RNA of Chlorocebus sabaeus (green monkey), 4051 nucleotides long. Lineage: Eukaryota; Metazoa; Chordata; Mammalia; Primates; Cercopithecidae. The record is from RefSeq and is a predicted model, not a curated record.